GUGUCAGCAGCCGCGGUAAUACGAAGGGGGCUAGCGUUGUUCGGAAUCACUGGGCGUAAAGCGCAUGCAGGCGGAUUGUUAAGUCGGGGGUGAAAUCCCGAGGCUCAACCUCGGAACUGCCUUCGAUACUGGCAAUCUUGAGUCCGGGAGAGGUGAGUGGAACUGCGAGUGUAGAGGUGAAAUUCGUAGAUAUUCGCAAGAACACCAGUGGCGAAGGCGGCUCACUGGCCCGGUACUGACGCUGAGGUGCGAAAGCGUGGGGAGCAAACAGGAUUAGAUACCCUCGUAGUCC
RNAcentral lists this ribosomal RNA (292 nucleotides) under uncultured bacterium. Its description in RNAcentral is "partial 16S ribosomal RNA". It matches the Rfam family "Bacterial small subunit ribosomal RNA", at positions 505 to 796 of the family's 1533-position model. The record is from RNAcentral.